ACUCAUAGCCCUAAGACUCAAAUGAUCUCUUUAAUAAAAUUCAGCAACUUCCAGUUAAAAGGCAACCCACAAAGUAGUAAAAACAAAAUAGAACCGCCCCAGGAAAAAACAUUAAUAGUAGCUAACAGUAAGUUUCCUUGCAAUAUCAGGAAUUUUGCCUGAGUUCUUAAACUCUUAACUUUUUUUUCUUGGUCCUUCGUCCAAAGAACCCAAACACUGCUAUCAGGAACAAUGAAUACAACAUUUUCUCAACAAGUCAGAUACAACUCGUGGUAAAUAUCCUUACAUCACAUAGGCUCUGGCCUCAAAACAAGUAUCACGUGUCAAGAUUGCUGUCUUAAAUUCAAGGAAGGGUUCACAACAAAAGGAGAUGAAGAGCCACAAAGGUCAUAAGGUAAAGAUGGCUCUCUGGUGAUGGGCAGAAGCUUCUAAGGAGAGUGGCAAAACCCCUGACAGAUGUGCAACGAAGAUGCUGAGUGGUUCUGGAGAGAGAUUGUCUGGGCCACGUACGCCAGGCCCACUGCCAUCUCUAGGCCAGAGACCUGGUUUUUCUUCCCUUUCAUAUUUUUCUUGCUCCACACGUCUCUAUGAUUCAGCCUUUCAGUGCCAGAGGUAGCUUUCGGUCAAGUUUCAGCACCUCGACGCUUUCCUCUCUGGUCUGUUCAACUUCAAGCAGUUUUCAGGGAGCCUGUUUCUAGAAGGCACUUUCUGUCCUUCCCUCUUUCCUUGUUUUUUUAGGGUGCCUGGGAAGUUGGGAAGGUGAGAGUAUCACCUCAUUUUGCCUGUCUACAAUGUAAUAAAUAGGCCAGAACACAUGAUGGGU
This is a non-coding RNA of Phascolarctos cinereus (koala), 823 nucleotides long. The record is from RefSeq and is a predicted model, not a curated record. Lineage: Eukaryota; Metazoa; Chordata; Mammalia; Diprotodontia; Phascolarctidae.